UGCAUUUCAGGAAAAUACACACAUUAGUUGGAGCAUUUGAUGCUGGAGACUGUGCGGAUGGACGGAUGUCACAGCACCAUGGUGAAAAAUGGAGGGAAUAAUAAUCGUUCAGUAAUAUCAAACUUAAAUGCCCCACCAUUUUUACUAGUGGAGAUUUGUCGAUAACAUUAGGUCCGCGCGUACUGAAAGGAACCGGCUUACUAUGGGAAGCUAAAAUAUUUAUCAACGCUUUGGGAUAUUUUGGAAGUUUAUACCUGGAUAGAUAAGGAUGUUGGCUAUUGUCAAGAUAAUGGUAUGUCACUGCAAGCCACCUCAAGAUGGCCAAGUUGGUGUGUUGCUGAUCUAUGCUC
Long non-coding RNA from Papaver somniferum (opium poppy), 350 nucleotides. RefSeq lists it as uncharacterized. The transcript has 3 exons. The record is from RefSeq and is a predicted model, not a curated record. Lineage: Eukaryota; Viridiplantae; Streptophyta; Magnoliopsida; Ranunculales; Papaveraceae.